This 595-nucleotide ribosomal RNA is filed under the name Penicillium griseofulvum. RNAcentral describes it as "eukaryotic LSU rRNA". The stretch from base 231 to 383 matches the Rfam family "5.8S ribosomal RNA". Lineage: Eukaryota; Fungi; Ascomycota; Eurotiomycetes; Eurotiales; Aspergillaceae. The record is from RNAcentral.
UGGAAGUAAAAGUCGUAACAAGGUUUCCGUAGGUGAACCUGCGGAAGGAUCAUUACUGAGUGAGGGCCCUCUGGGUCCAACCUCCCACCCGUGUUUAUUUACCUUGUUGCUUCGGCGGGCCCGCCUUAACUGGCCGCCGGGGGGCUUACGCCCCCGGGCCCGCGCCCGCCGAAGACACCCUCGAACUCUGUCUGAAGAUUGUAGUCUGAGUGAAAAUAUAAAUUAUUUAAAACUUUCAACAACGGAUCUCUUGGUUCCGGCAUCGAUGAAGAACGCAGCGAAAUGCGAUACGUAAUGUGAAUUGCAAAUUCAGUGAAUCAUCGAGUCUUUGAACGCACAUUGCGCCCCCUGGUAUUCCGGGGGGCAUGCCUGUCCGAGCGUCAUUGCUGCCCUCAAGCACGGCUUGUGUGUUGGGCCCCGUCCUCCGAUUCCGGGGGACGGGCCCGAAAGGCAGCGGCGGCACCGCGUCCGGUCCUCGAGCGUAUGGGGCUUUGUCACCCGCUCUGUAGGCCCGGCCGGCGCUUGCCGAUCAACCCAAAUUUUUAUCCAGGUUGACCUCGGAUCAGUAGGAUACCCGCUGAACUUAAGCAUAUCA